This 366-nucleotide ribosomal RNA is filed under the name uncultured bacterium. Its description in RNAcentral is "partial 16S ribosomal RNA". It matches the Rfam family "Bacterial small subunit ribosomal RNA", at positions 338 to 696 of the family's 1533-position model. The record is from RNAcentral.
CCUACGGGAGGCAGCAGUAGGGAAUCUUCCACAAUGGGCGAAAGCCUGAACGAGCAACGCCGCGUGGGUGAAGAAGGUCUUCGGAUCGUAAAACCCUGUUGUUAGAGAAGAAAGUGCGUGAGAGUAACUGUUCACGUUUCGACGGUAUCUAACCAGAAAGCCAAGGCCAACUACGUGCCAGCCGCCGAGGUAAUACGUAGGUGGCAAGCGUUAUCCGGAUUUAUUGGGGGGAAAGGGACCGCAGGCGGUCUUUUAAGUCUGAUGUGAAAGCCUUUGGCUUAACCGGAGUAGUGCAGUGGAAACUGGGAGACGUGAGUGCAGAAGAGGAGAGUGGAACUCGAGGUGUAGCGGUGAAAUGCGUAGAUA